UGGCAGACCCAGGUCCUGGAGGAGGAGGCCGCGGCUGCCCUGCGAGAUGUCUCUGAUCCUGAGCCUUCCAGCCUGGAUGAUGUUUUCCAGGAAGGGAACCCAAUCCACAAGAUUGAAGACUGGCUGCAGGAGUGCGGAUACUCUGAAGAAGGGUUUUUUGAGGAAAGUGGACAGUCGAGCUACAAUGGGUGCCUCAGCCAUGGAACCAGCUUUGAAGAUGACUUGACCUUAGGAGCAGAGGCCACACUGUUGGCCACCAAUGGCAAAGUCUUCUCCAGGUAAGUGUUAGGUCCCCAGACGAAAUGGUGUCUUCUUUAGGAGCUAGUGAACUGCUGGAGGUGUCAGAGCAAAGAGAUGAAAAUGACCAGCUCAAGGGUCACAGGAGAGAGUGAGAUUUUCCAACUAGGAAUGAGCCCCUAGACUGGGUUUUCCCAGUAGACGGUAGACGGUACCCAGCAGGGAGUCAAUAUGCCCAGCAGAACGUGUCUUAGACCCAGGGUGCGGACUGCUUACAAGCUUAGUAGACAUCUUCUCCGAUCCCUGCAGGAGUUUCCUGGACACAGCCCGGCCUUGCCAGCUCCUCGAUCUCGGCU
This 593-nucleotide long non-coding RNA is filed under the name Ursus maritimus (polar bear). RNAcentral describes it as "lncRNA (ENSUMAG00000011314.1)". Lineage: Eukaryota; Metazoa; Chordata; Mammalia; Carnivora; Ursidae. The record is from RNAcentral.